AGUUGCCUGGAGAUGGAGCAAAGAAGGGAAGAGAUGUCUUGACAGCUUCCCUGCGUAUAUUCAUGAUAAUCAGCAUGUUCAGCUAGUUCACUGAGAAGAGUUUACUGCUUUCCACAAGCCACAGCAGGGCCAGCCUUUCCCCAACAUGCUCUGAAGUCUGAGAGUCUACU
This is a long non-coding RNA of Pantherophis guttatus, 170 nucleotides long. RefSeq lists it as uncharacterized. NCBI's taxonomy places the organism in Eukaryota, Metazoa, Chordata, Lepidosauria, Squamata, Colubridae. The record is from RefSeq and is a predicted model, not a curated record.